Molecule: ribosomal RNA, 274 nt
Filed under: uncultured bacterium
Lineage: Bacteria
Description: partial 16S ribosomal RNA
Rfam family: Bacterial small subunit ribosomal RNA
Source: RNAcentral
AUACGGAGGGUGCAAGCGUUAAUCGGAAUUACUGGGCGUAAAGCGCACGCAGGCGGUUUGUUAAGUCAGAUGUGAAAUCCCCGGGCUCAACCUGGGAACUGCAUCUGAUACUGGCAAGCUUGAGUCUCGUAGAGGGGGGUAGAAUUCCAGGUGUAGCGGUGAAAUGCGUAGAGAUCUGGAGGAAUACCGGUGGCGAAGGCGGCCCCCUGGACGAAGACUGACGCUCAGGUGCGAAAGCGUGGGGAGCAAACAGGAUUAGAAACCCCAGUAGUCC